AUGACGAAGUUGCAACGACGACAGAUAUGUUCGUUGAUUCUCGCAAUAGUGAAAGACAAUAAGGUAAAGCAUUUCAUGAAACUAUCAUAUUGCGGGUUUGGUUAUGCUGAUUUUGCAGGCAAAGUAUUUCAGCCAAACUUCAUGCCUUUUCCUUUAGGGACUAUAUUUGAUAAGUACAUCACAAAUAUUAAGCUUAUUUGCCUUUCUGUUGGCUGUGUUAUGCUGAUUUUAUAA
Vicia faba (fava bean) is the source of this 234-nucleotide non-coding RNA. The record is from the annotation of a GenBank genome assembly. NCBI's taxonomy places the organism in Eukaryota, Viridiplantae, Streptophyta, Magnoliopsida, Fabales, Fabaceae.